CAGGCCUAACACAUGCAAGUCGAACGGCAGCACGGUAGAGCUUGCUCUAUGGGUGGCGAGUGGCGGACGGGUGAGUAAGGCAUCGGGACCUACCCAGACGUGGGGGAUAACGUAGGGAAACUUACGCUAAUACCGCAUACGUCCUACGGGAGAAAGCGGGGGAUCGCAAGACCUCGCGCGGUUGGAUGGACCGAUGUGCGAUUAGCUAGUUGGUGAGGUAACGGCUCACCAAGGCGACGAUCGCUAGCUGGUCUGAGAGGAUGAUCAGCCACACUUGGACUGAGACACGGCCCAGACUCCUACGGGAGGCAGCAGUGGGGAAUAUUGGACAAUGGGCGCAAGCCUGAUCCAGCAAUGCCGCGUGUGUGAAGAAGGCCUUCGGGUUGUAAAGCACUUUUAUCAGGAGCGAAAUCUGCAGGGCUAAUACCCAUGCAGUCUGACGGUACCUGAGGAAUAAGCACCGGCUAACUCCGUGCCAGCAGCCGCGGUAAU
Molecule: ribosomal RNA, 492 nt
Filed under: uncultured bacterium
Lineage: Bacteria
Description: bacterial SSU rRNA
Rfam family: Bacterial small subunit ribosomal RNA
Source: RNAcentral